Molecule: ribosomal RNA, 253 nt
Filed under: uncultured bacterium
Lineage: Bacteria
Description: partial 16S ribosomal RNA
Rfam family: Bacterial small subunit ribosomal RNA
Source: RNAcentral
GACGGAGGGUGCAAGCGUUGUUCGGAAUUACUGGGCGUAAAGGGCGAGUAGGCGGCCUUCUAAGUCAGACGUGAAAUCCCUCGGCUUAACCGAGGAACUGCGUCCGAUACUGAAAGGCUUGAAUCCGGGAGAGGGAUGUGGAAUUCCAGGUGUAGCGGUGAAAUGCGUAGAUAUCUGGAGGAACACCGGUGGCGAAGGCGGCAUCCUGGACCGGCAUUGACGCUGAGGCGCGAAAGCUAGGGGAGCAAACGGG